Molecule: long non-coding RNA, 288 nt
Filed under: Setaria viridis
Lineage: Eukaryota; Viridiplantae; Streptophyta; Magnoliopsida; Poales; Poaceae
Description: long non-coding RNA (SVIR_LNC009416)
Source: RNAcentral
AUGGUUGUUGGGAAUGUUUUACUAAUUGCUCCUUAGCUUGGGCUGUGAUGCUUUAUUAUUACUCAUAUAUCAUUCGGGUGGAUAUUCUUGUGAAUUAAUGUUUGUCCUGGUCAUUGCAGGGAGUACUUCUUUGGGAAGAUUGUGUUGUUCUUGUUCUUUAAUAGUGUGAAGAAUGUCAGAUGCAGAUAGGAGGUGGAUGCGUAUGUCCAGAUUUACUUCUGAAUGGCAAACAGGAUUCAAGAACUAUGUUUAGAGUAUAUUUGAAGGCACAUCUAAAGAAGAAACUAC